CCAGCGUCUAUAACUAAUAUGGUCUAGUGUAUACAACCACCUACCUCAACACAAGUCAUGUGCACUCUCACACCACAUGUAGCUAUUAUCACCAUGUGCACUCCUACACCGCACACAAUUACCAUGUCAUGAGCUCUCCCGCACUGUAUACCACCAUUACCGUCAUGUGCACUCCCACACUGCGCAUACACAAUUAUAGAUGUCAUUUGACCAUACCACAUAAAUCAUAGCACACAUAACAAUAUAUAAUUAGGAAAUUUUUUUUCAAUGCCUUCCACAUUGUUCAUUAUUUUAUACUAUAUACAUGAUUAGACAAUUCAAUUUUCAAGAAAAAUAGUAUCAAUUAUUGUACCUCUAGUUACAACAUCCAAGGUUCUUAACGUAUCACACACCUUAAUUCACAUAGCAAUUCAAUAAAAUAAUUCAUACACAUGGUUCAUUACAUUAUACAUUUUGUAAUGUAAGGAUAUCAUUCAUCAAAGGCUUGUUCCCAUGCAUAUUUUAAAAGAUUCAAAUAAGUAUAUUCAAAUAUUUCAUUCAAAGACAUAUACAUUUUUCCAAAACUUUUUUAUGCUAGUUCACUUACCUUUUAUGCUACCUCACCAAAACCAACACCAAGACCCUAAUCCAAUUUAGGUCUUGAAGCUCCAAUAGAUCCGAUAAUGAUGAACAACACAUUCAAUUCAAUUAUUUUUAAUAAAUUUAGAAUUUAUUGCUAAUAACUCUAUGAUAUAAAGUUAUUUGGGCUUAAUUUUGAUAGUAAUUUAGCUUAGUUCUUGUAACAAUACAUAGAAAUUAAUAGGUCUUAUUUAAUUAUUUUAAAUUAGUUAUUUUAGGUGAGUCAAUCUAAUCUUAGUUAAUUUUAUACUUAAUUUGGUGUUACUAUAAUUAAGAUAGGUUGUUAUUGAUUUAUUUGUGCUUUUGUAGGUGUUUGAUGAAAAAAGAAUUUUAAUGAAAGAAUGAGAGCAAUUUUGAGGUCUAGACUUUUACUGCACAUAUUUUAGUAUUUUGACCAUAACUCUCUCUACAGAAUUUUAAAUGAGAUGAUUCUUAAACCAUUGGAAAGAUAAGAGAAAACUAUACAACUUUCAUGUUUACCACUUCAUCCAAUUCGGCCUACAAGGUGGUCAAAAAUCUUGUUGAAAUUGAUAUACUGCAACAGUUCUAGAACAAUUACGAUUUCUGCUAAUUAAUUGGGCAAGACUGCAGCCCACAUAGUCUAAUGAGGAAAUCCCAAUUGGAAUUGACCUCUUUCUCCAUUCAACUUGGCCUAACUUCAAAAACCUAUAAAAAUAACCUCUCAAAACACUUUGACAAGAGAACAAAACAUCAUAUUGAUAGUUGAGAAUCAAGCCACAAAGUCAUUGUCACGACCCGAAACUCCCCAUCGAGCCCGUGACAACCGUCGCGAGGCCUCAACAAACAUUCUUCACCCCGAAUGUCGAUCGAAACCUCGCAAGACUUUCGUAUCAGCUUUCACACUUCCCCGGUGAGCAAUAGUUAUCAAAUAUCAAAAUUCGAAAGAUUACAAAUCAUUUCGAAAUCAAAACAUAACAUAUUGUUUUCUGGCUCACAGGGGCAUUUUCGUCAUUUUUGUCAAAAAUCUCGAAACUUUCUAAAAAUGUAGUAGGUAAGCAGAAAAUAUAUGUAAUGAUUUAAAAACAAAUUAAGUAUCUAAAACGUUCAUUUGAAGUGAAAAUUUGACCAUUUAAAUAUAAUAAAAAUAUUCAAUAAAAUAAACUAUUUUCUUGUAAAAUAAUUUUCAUAAAACUAUCAGUACAUAAUUCUUAUAGCAUAAAAGUUAAUUAUAUUCAUAUAUACUAUAAAGCAAAUAACCAAAGCAUAAAAUUUCUUUUACAGUGACACGUGGGCCCACAUCUAACCAAAAUGCAUCGGAAGCUGGAAACCUACAGCUUUUACCGAUUCGGGUCCAAAUGAAGGGUCCUUGUCAAAGUCAGCUAACUAUGGAAUUCCCCAAGCUUGAAAUGUGAGGAAAUAAGGGUGGUGAGAUUAUAAAAUCCCAAUGAGUAAACAAAUACCAUCUAAACUAUCUAAAGUCGAGUAAAUGGAGACAAUUGAAAUAAGUCAUCAUACUAUAAUUUCAUUACCUUUCAACUCAUUUCAACCAAAUAAAAUCAAUCCAUAUAAAUCGACUAAUCAACUUGGCUUAUGAAUUUCUUAAAACUUUGGCUCGUGCCAAAACUCAUACUCGGUGAUACCUUGCGCAGGGCAUCCAACCGAGUCCGCCAAGGCUGUUAAAAUCUUUGUUUACACUUAAAAAAUAUUUUUAGUUUGAGAAAAAUACAACCGUUCCUUGGCGUUGGUUGAGUUCCCCUUCACGUGGUGGUUUGACGUGAAGUGAACCCUAAGCUUUACCCUAGGAGAUACCCUAAGCGCCUCUCCGUUCGAGGUAAGAAUAUAAUGGAGUUUACUGUGCCCCUCUAAUAGGCUGGUCCACAGAACCCCCUCUGCAAUGAAUAAUUAAUAUAUACUCCACCAAUCAAUAAAAUUCAUUCUAGCAUGACAUGGCAAUUUAUCGCAACCUAGCCUCUCAAGGUUGAAUACUCAGUACAAAUAAUUCUAACACCAAAAUCAGUUUAGCCAUUCAUGUCAUAUAUUGUCAUAAGCCAUUCAAUUUAAAACCAUAAAUUUACAACACAAGCAGGCAGUCUCCAAUUACUCUAUUUUCAAAACCAGUAUUCGAUUUUUCAAGCAAAUUCAUAAAAUCAUUUUAUAAAAUCGUAAUUUCUCCUAAAACAUAACAAUUUACCAUUUAAACCCAUUUUCCAUAAAAUCACACAAUUGUAUAAAACUACUCUAGAUAAUUAAGACGAUAAUAAGUUCACUCACAGUUCUAGGAGUCGAUGUACUCCUAAUCCCAGUCUCCAAGCACAAUCUCUGUACUUUUACCAAUGUACUUUGCUCACCACCUAUCCAUAAUGUACAAUACAUAAUUCACCACAUCAAUGCUUGACCAUUAUAAAAUCAAUUCAGACUCGGUAUAUAUGCAUGAUAUGAUAUACAACUUAUCCGACUACCGCUUAAAUGCGGUGCUGACCUAAUUUGGCCUAUUAUCUCCAAUUUAACUCCAAAUCAAUUCUUCUCACUUUCUACACUCCAAUUAUACUUAAAUUGCCUUAGUGAUUGUGAAUGAGAUUCAAUUUAUCAGUCUCAAUAGCAAAUUACGAAAAUACCCCUGGUGGGUAAAAAUUCAUAUUUUUGCUUCGAAAAUUCCCAUUAUUUUUCUAGGCUCAUAAUUCAUCAUUAUUCAUCAUAAUUCCUCAAAUAAACAUCAAGAUCAGCAGCCAAUAUUUCCCUAAAAAUUUUGACAAAUAAUGGUAAUGGAGGAAAAUAAAUUCUUUUCUUGUUCUUUUGUUCCUAAAUAUGCUAAACUAACUAAAAACACUAACAUAGUCUAAAAUCAAAUUAUUCCAACAACAAUUCCUCUUCCAUACCCAUUUUUCAGAAUUGAAUUCAUCAUGAUAACUCAAUAUUCAACCAUGAAAAUCAAGAACAAAAGUAUGGGUAAGCUAGGUAUCAAGGAGAAUUAAAGAAAUUCUAACUUACCUAGCUUGUUUCCUUGAUUUCUUCACUUUUUCUUUAAAAUUCCACCUAGGUUUUCUUGUUUUUCCCUUUGUUCUUCCUUUGUUCUUGUUGCUGGUUGCCUAGGCCGAAUAUGAUGAGAGAAUUGGGGAUUUCAUGGGCUGAUUUCUAUAGAAAAUAAUAAAAUAAUCAAGCAUGCCACGUGUCACAUACUUAUUGGCCCAAUUUUUUAACUUUUUGACUUUUUCUUCUUAAUUUUCUACCACAAAUAUUUUGGUAUUUAUCCAAUCCUACCACAAUUAAAAUCCCUUGGUCUUGACAAGUGCUGGGGCGAAACAUUUACCAAUUUUGUCACGACUUGGUACUCCCCUCGAGCCCGUGACAACCGCCACGGUGUCCCGGUAGACACUCAUUGCUCGGAAUGUCAACCCGAAACCCUGCAAGACUUUACUAUCAGUUUCUCUAUUCCCUUGUGAGCAACCAUUAUCAAAUAUCGUGUUCUAAAAGAUUUUAAGCCAUUUCCAACUUAAAACAAAUAAAAUAUUAAUUUUCGUCUCACAGGAAUAUUUUGGUCAUUUUUCUCAAAAACUUUGAAACUGGCUAAAAUGUAACAUACAAGUACAAAAGACAUAUUUCAUAAUCAAAAUGAGUUUAAAAGUCUAAAAUCUUCAUUUAAAACGAAAUUACGGUUAUUUGAAUAUAAUAAGAAAAUAAAAAAAAUAUUAAGUAAAAUAUUCUAUUUUCUUAUAAAACAAUAUUUACAGAGUUAUACGUGAAUAAUUUUUAUAGCGUAAAAGCUAAAUAAAUUUAUACAUACUGAAAUACAGUAAGCCAAAAUGUUUAAUUUAAUUUACAAUAACAAGAGGGCCCCCGAAUAAACAAAAGUAAAGAGGACUAUGAACCUACGGUUUGGAAAAUGCAGAUCCAACGGUAGUCCUCGAUGAGAUCAGCUAUCUACAGCCUAUACUG
Molecule: long non-coding RNA, 4512 nt
Filed under: Theobroma cacao (cacao)
Lineage: Eukaryota; Viridiplantae; Streptophyta; Magnoliopsida; Malvales; Malvaceae
Description: long non-coding RNA (TCAC_LNC004017)
Source: RNAcentral